AGAGUUUGAUCCUGGCUCAGGACGAACGCUGGCGGCGUGCCUAAUACAUGCAAGUAGAACGCUGAGGACUGGUGCUUGCACCGGUCCAAGGAGUUGCGAACGGGUGAGUAACGCGUAGGUAACCUACCUCAUAGCGGGGGAUAACUAUUGGAAACGAUAGCUAAUACCGCAUAAAAGUGUUUAACCCAUGUUAAACAUUUAAAAGGUGCAACUGCAUCACUAUGAGAUGGACCUGCGUUGUAUUAGCUAGUUGGUGAGGUAACGGCUCACCAAGGCGACGAUACAUAGCCGACCUGAGAGGGUGAUCGGCCACACUGGGACUGAGACACGGCCCAGACUCCUACGGGAGGCAGCAGUAGGGAAUCUUCGGCAAUGGACGGAAGUCUGACCGAGCAACGCCGCGUGAGUGAAGAAGGUUUUCGGAUCGUAAAGCUCUGUUGUUAGAGAAGAAUGAUGGUGGGAGUGGAAAAUCCACCAUGUGACGGUAACUAACCAGAAAGGGACGGCUAACUACGUGCCAGCAGCCGCGGUAAUACGUAGGUCCCGAGCGUUGUCCGGAUUUAUUGGGCGUAAAGCGAGCGCAGGCGGUUCUUUAAGUCUGAAGUUAAAGGCAGUGGCUCAACCAUUGUACGCUUUGGAAACUGGAGAACUUGAGUGCAGAAGGGGAGAGUGGAAUUCCAUGUGUAGCGGUGAAAUGCGUAGAUAUAUGGAGGAACACCGGUGGCGAAAAGCGGCUCUCUGGUCUGUAACUGGCGCUGAGGCUCGAAAGCGUGGGGAGCAAACAGGAUUACGAUACCCUGGUAGUCCACGCCGUAAACGAUGAGUGCUAGGUGUUAGGCCCUUUCCGGGGCUUAGUGCCGGAGCUAACGCAUUAAGCACUCCGCCUGGGGAGUACGACCGCAAGGUUGAAACUCAAAGGAAUUGAUGGGGGCCCGCACAAGCGGUGGAGCAUGUGGUUUAAUUCGAAGCAACGCGAAGAACCUUACCAGGUCUUGACAUCCUCCUGACCGGUCUAGAGAUAGGCUUUCCCUUCGGGGCAGGAGUGACAGGUGGUGCAUGGUUGUCGUCAGCUCGUGUCGUGAGAUGUUGGGUUAAGUCCCGCAACGAGCGCAACCCCUAUUGUUAGUUGCCAUCAUUAAGUUGGGCACUCUAGCGAGACUGCCGGUAAUAAACCGGAGGAAGGUGGGGAUGACGUCAAAUCAUCAUGCCCCUUAUGACCUGGGCUACACACGUGCUACAAUGGUUGGUACAACGAGUCGCAAGCCGGUGACGGCAAGCUAAUCUCUUAAAGCCAAUCUCAGUUCGGAUUGUAGGCUGCGACUCGCCUACAUGAAGUCGGAAUCGCUAGUAAUCGCGGAUCAGCACGCCGCGGUGAAUACGUUCCCGGGCCUUGUACACACCGCCCGUCACACCACGAGAGUUUGUAACACCCCGAAGUCGGUGAGGUAACCUAUUAGGAGCCAGCCGCCUAAGGUGGGAUAGAUGAUUGGGGUGAAGUCGUAACAAGGUA
Molecule: ribosomal RNA, 1510 nt
Filed under: Streptococcus dysgalactiae subsp. equisimilis SK1250
Lineage: Bacteria; Bacillati; Bacillota; Bacilli; Lactobacillales; Streptococcaceae
Description: bacterial SSU rRNA
Rfam family: Bacterial small subunit ribosomal RNA
Source: RNAcentral